UAUAUAAAGCAGAGCCGGUUACCGCCCUCGUUCCCUCACAGCUUAAUUACAGUUCACCACAUUUUCCUCUCAGAUUUAAAAAAAAAAAAAAGCAAAAAAGAAAAAGGAGCUCCCUUGUUAAUCAAGGUCACGUAAAAAAGACUUGAGAACCAGCUGGUAAGUUUAUAGUCGAUCGUUUUUUGAAUUUUUUUGGUGAUAGAUCGUUGUUUAAUAGUCGGGUUAUGCAAGUUCGUUUGAUCAAAUUUAGAUAGAUUUGUAGUGAUUACGAGCGUCGAAGUUGUUCUCUCUGCUCUGCUAAUCUUCGCUUUUGAAUUUCUUUUUUUUUUUUUUGUGAUGGAUCAUUGUUUUAUAGUCGAAUUAUGAAAGUUCGUUUGAUCGAAUUUCGAUAGCUUUGGAGUGAUUACGAGCGUCGAAAUUGUUCUCUCUUCUUUGCUAACCGUUGCUUUUGAAUUUUUUUUUUGGGUGAUGGAUGGUUGUUUUAUAGCCGAAUUAUGAAGUUCGUUUGAUCGAAUUUCGAUAACUUUGAAGUGGUUCCCAGCGUUCGAAGUUGUUCUCUCUUCUCUGCUAAUCGUCGGUUUUUGUUUGUUCUGUUGUAAUUUUCGAGUCCUGUUUUGAUCUCCAAAACCGAAUGAGAUUUCUUCUUUAGAAGUUAUUGUUAGUGCUAAUUUAGAAAUUAGAACUACUCUAACUUAUUUAAACAUCUAAUAUCCUUUGAAUUAAGGGUUAGAGAGAGAUUUUUUAAACCCAUACAGGUCUAUAUGUAACCAUGUUUUUUGCAUUGAGAUAUAUAUAUGUAUGUAUAUAUACCUCUUGAUUGUAUUUCAUUUGGAUUUGGUUGGCUGCUGUGAUGCUUUUAAUGAAAUAAAUGUUUUUUUGUUUUUAGAUACAAUUUCUUAAACCUACAUGAAGUCAAUAUCAGUUGCUGGUCUUAUUUGGCCUUCUUUUAAUUAUUAUUAUAUUUAUGUUUAUUAUUCUUUAAUGGUAAUUCACUAAUUUGGGAAUUGUUGAACUUUGAAGCUUCAACCACUGAAUAGUGGGGGUCUUUUUGCAAAUUUCCGAUAUAUAUAGGGAUUCAAGUUAACUGAAAUAUUUCCACAUUUAGUACUUUUAAGUUGUAAUAUUGAAGAUGUUUAUGAUGUUAAUUGCAGAUCAUGGCCAAUGAGCGCUACAUCGAAGAGGCCGAANNNNN
This 1189-nucleotide long non-coding RNA is filed under the name Gossypium barbadense (sea-island cotton). RNAcentral's name for it is "long non-coding RNA (GBAR_LNC014640)". Lineage: Eukaryota; Viridiplantae; Streptophyta; Magnoliopsida; Malvales; Malvaceae. The record is from RNAcentral.